CGCCGCUCCCGGUGCCCCGGCCCGGCCCGGCCCGGCCCGGCUGCCGGCGCCGCUCCUCCCCCGGCCCCGCCCCGGCGGCUUGUAAACACGGCAGUGGCUUCCGCCACGGCGCCGCGACGCCUCGCGAGAGACCGGGUCUCGCGAGACAGGGACGCUCCGGGCCCGCCCCCGCCCCAGGCGACUGUCAAGUACAGGCCUCGCGCUUGGCUCGAGCGCGGUUGUUUUCCAGCUCCCGUGCGCGCGUUCGCGCGCGGGGCGGCGGCCGCCCCUGGGACUCGGUGUGAGGGGAGCGCUGCUGUCCCUGUGGCGGUCCGGUGAAAGUGGGGUCCGGCCCGUUCCUUCAGCCCUAAGCAGGCGUCUGGUUCAGUUCUCUGUGUGACAGGGAGAGGCGGCAGUGCAGUGCGCUGUGUCUCAUCGUUCACUGAGUUGUGUCUGUGAUUGCAUUAUGUGAAAGCAUGACAGUGACAGGGGUACCAACACUGCCACGCGAACAGAUGCGAUCCUCAGACAUUGCAGGCGUCUGUGGUCUCUCUGAGGGAGCCUACGUUCCUGGUGUGCUGCAGCUCUCGGACAUCCCUGCACUAUGGGGACUGGCUCUGCAACACAGCAAUGCUGGGGGGAGUUUUCCUUCACCUCAUGUGGUUAGACAACAUUGUCUCUUCAGGCACAGUACUUCUGUAAGGGAGAAUGUCAGUGCUGCUGGACAGGAGAAUUGGCUGCAGAGUGGCUUUCCAGGAAUUUGAGCAUAUGCUGUUGCAAAAGGUAAGGUUGCAGGUAGCGGCAGCAGCUCACAUUUUCCCAGGGCUUCUCCUCCAGCCCCUGCCUCCAGAAAUCAGAGCAUACCAGAGCAACGGAGUGGCAAAAGCAAUCGUAGAGAUAUCCUUUGUCUUUCCAGGAUAUAGCCUCCACAUUAGAAUAAAAUAGUUCAGUUGGAAGGGACCUUCA
Molecule: long non-coding RNA, 945 nt
Filed under: Numida meleagris (helmeted guineafowl)
Lineage: Eukaryota; Metazoa; Chordata; Aves; Galliformes; Numididae
Description: lncRNA (ENSNMEG00000014979.1)
Source: RNAcentral